This is a non-coding RNA of Otolemur garnettii (small-eared galago), 109 nucleotides long. NCBI's taxonomy places the organism in Eukaryota, Metazoa, Chordata, Mammalia, Primates, Galagidae. The record is from Rfam.
UUGUUUAAGCCAAAAAAAAAAAUAAAAUAAAAUUGGAAUGAUACAGAGAAGAUUAGCAUGGCCCCUGUGUAAGGAUGACACACAAAUUCUUGAAGCGUUCCAUAUUUUU